GAAAAAAGAAUUGGAAGCCGAGCUGGUGAAUGUAACAGGGGCAGCUAGGCCAUGUCGCAAAAUAAGGUCUGAGCAAGACAAGGAGCCAGAAAAGGAGGUUGUAUCUGAAGUUGUGGGUGCUGGCCCAUCUGAGGAAUCUACAUCUGAUGCUCCUCAGGAAAUAGAUGAGUAUGAGCUCGUUGAUCCUGUUGAUAUAUUGGCUCCUUUGGAGAAGUCUGGAUUUUGGGAUGGAGUGAAAGCAACCAAGUGGUCAGAACGGAAAGAGGCUGUCGCAGAGCUAACCAAGCUUGCUUCAACAAAAAGAAUAGCACCCGGUGAUUUCUCAGAAAUCUGUCGGACACUAAAAAAGCUCAUAACAGAUGUUAAUAUCGCUGUAGCAGUCGAGGCAAUUCAAGCUAUUGGCAAUCUUGCUCGGGGUUUAAGAACUAAUUUCUCUGCAAGUUCACGCUUCCUAUUGCCAG
Molecule: long non-coding RNA, 461 nt
Organism: Humulus lupulus (European hop)
Lineage: Eukaryota; Viridiplantae; Streptophyta; Magnoliopsida; Rosales; Cannabaceae
Exons: 5
Source: RefSeq, a predicted model, not a curated record